GCUGCUGUUGGCGGUGAUGAUGACGGUGGUGGAUGAUGAUGAUGACGAUGAUGGUGAUGAAGAUCUCGACGAUCGACAAGGGGGCGACGACGAUGAUGAUGGUGAUUAUAGGGUCAUUAUUCAUUAGGCACAUUGAGGGGACAAAAAGGGGCUCCAUGGAUGUUGUCGUAGGGAAAGGGUUGCAAAGAAAACCAAAGAUGUCACCUUUUCCUCAUCAGGGGCCGGUUAGGCACAUUGAGGGGACAAAAAGGGGCUCCAUGGAUGUUGUCGUAGGGAAAGGGUUGCAAAGAAAACCAAAGAUGUCACCUUUUCCUCAUCAGGCCCCGGCCCCGGCCCCGGCCCCUAAUUAGCAAUUCAGCUAACUAACUAAGUAAUUAGUUCAUGGAAGCGUGCACCAAGCCGUGAACUCUAAUCCUCUUGCAAAGUGGUAUCUCACGAGAGCUACGUAUCUCUUUGUUAUUCCUUGGAAAUUUCCCGCCUCAUCGUUCCGGCCCACACGCUUCAUCUUCCUGGCCAUCCUCCUCCCACAAGCCACAUCAAAAGAGGAAGGAUGGAAAUCCCUCUGAAAUGAACUCGUACCCACCACGAUUCUUCUCCGGUCCUCCUCGAAUCUAUUGACAUUGCAAUUUCCCUAUUCAAAUUGACAUUGUCCAAGUAUUAUUUGUGUUCCUCCAUGGAAGUCAUUCUUGUUAUAAUAAUUGACUUUAUACCUAGAGCAUGAUUCUAGAUUUUGCACCGGGUCACAAAUAUCACCAGG
RNAcentral lists this long non-coding RNA (757 nucleotides) under Triticum aestivum (bread wheat). RNAcentral describes it as "long non-coding RNA (TAES_LNC015478)". Lineage: Eukaryota; Viridiplantae; Streptophyta; Magnoliopsida; Poales; Poaceae. The record is from RNAcentral.